Non-coding RNA from Solanum tuberosum (potato), 89 nucleotides. The record is from Rfam. NCBI's taxonomy places the organism in Eukaryota, Viridiplantae, Streptophyta, Magnoliopsida, Solanales, Solanaceae.
AUUUGGGUAUGAUGAUCAAAGGAAUUAUACAGUUAUCCCUGUCUGAUUUAUUCAGUGCUGAAAGUUUUCCUUUCAUUUCUGACCCAUGC